This 233-nucleotide long non-coding RNA is filed under the name Elaeis guineensis (African oil palm). RNAcentral describes it as "long non-coding RNA (EGUI_LNC045537)". Lineage: Eukaryota; Viridiplantae; Streptophyta; Magnoliopsida; Arecales; Arecaceae. The record is from RNAcentral.
GGCAAGCUAGUAUUUGUAGGCUAACCCUUGCUCCUAGUCAAAUUAGAUUUGGCUUAAACCUUGUUUAAUUAGGCUUAUUUAUUUAUGUAGGACCCUGAUUGGAUCGAGCCUAAAGGGGGUAGCUAAGUUUGGACAUCCCCAAGCCUUAUCUACGCCCAUAUUAAAGAGUCCAAAAGGAGUUGGACUCUGGGGGGUGCCAAUUUUGUGCGACAAAUACAUUUAGCAUGCAAAAG